ACCUUACAAGGUGUCUGUCGUGGGGAGAGGAAGGGAAAGGAGCUUGUAAGCCACCUUGAGUCUCCUUACAGGGGAGAAAGAAAAGUGGGGUAUAAAUCCAAACUCUUCUUCUUCAGUCUGAACCCAUUGAA
This is a long non-coding RNA of Sphaerodactylus townsendi, 131 nucleotides long. RefSeq lists it as uncharacterized. NCBI's taxonomy places the organism in Eukaryota, Metazoa, Chordata, Lepidosauria, Squamata, Sphaerodactylidae. The record is from RefSeq and is a predicted model, not a curated record. The transcript has 3 exons.